GUGGAAUCAUUUCUGCACAAACUAGAGGAUUGAAACCAGUGUGCGGAAAUGCUUCUGCUA
Molecule: microRNA precursor, 60 nt
Filed under: Gekko japonicus
Lineage: Eukaryota; Metazoa; Chordata; Lepidosauria; Squamata; Gekkonidae
Description: Gja-Mir-147-P3b-v1_pre stem-loop
Rfam family: mir-147 microRNA precursor family
Source: RNAcentral